Molecule: RNA transcript, 4432 nt
Organism: Ziziphus jujuba (common jujube)
Lineage: Eukaryota; Viridiplantae; Streptophyta; Magnoliopsida; Rosales; Rhamnaceae
Exons: 13
Source: RefSeq, a predicted model, not a curated record
AUGGGUGAAGGUGAUUGCAGCUCUCAAAGAAUAAGUCAAAUAUCUUCUUUAUUUGCUCAUUAUGUAUCUAAUGAUUUAGAAAGUGAAGAAGUUAUUGUGAAAACUAUGGAAGAGUUAGUGGAAUCUAUAGAGGUUGGUAGUUGUUGGAUUCUUGCUACCAUUAUUGCAAUUGAGAAUGUAAAAAAUGUCCCAAAAAAGUUCAAAAUAAAAGUUAGAGUUAUUGAUGGUACUGGUAGUGCUUCUUUUUUGUUGUGGGAUCGUGAAUGUUUACAGAUACUUGGUAAAACUGCUAAUGACUUGAACGAUGAGUUGGUGAAGGAUUAUGAUGAGCUUUCUCGACUUGAAAACAAUAAUAUUGUUGAGCUAAAGGACUCUAUCACUAAAAAUGGCUUCAAUUUUCCAAAUGUAAUUCUUGGAAAACGAUCUAAUCCAGUUUUUGUUGAAGAUGAUGGUAAUGAAAAUCCUAUAAAUUCUGAUGUUGCAAGGAGUGGUGAUUGCGAAUAUGAUGGGGAUGAAGUGGAAUGCGAUGACUUCUCAACUAUGGACUAUUGGGAUAUCGGAGAUCCUUGCAAUAAAUGUGAAUUUUGUGGUGCAUUAUUUUGGUAUGAUGAAAGGGUUAGAAAGGAUUACAAUUCAUCAAAACCAAAAUUCUCUUUGUGUUGUAUGUAAGGGAAAGUGGAGCUUCCAAUGAUGCAAGACCCUCCUCAAAUUCUUAAGUAUCUACUUUAUGGUGUAGACGACAAAAGCAAGCAUUUUCUUGAAAAUAUUCGGUCAUACAACAGCAUGUUUUCUUGUACAUCCAUGGGAGGAAAGAUCGAUUCAAGUGUAAAUCGUGGAAGAGGGCCUCCUGUAUUUAGGUUACAUGGUCAAAAUUACCACAAGAUUGGAAGUUUAUUGCCACCAGAAGGUUCACUGCUAAAGUUUGCUCAAUUCCAAAAUUUUGACAUAAAAAAACUGCACACUGAGAUUGUUCAUGACUUGAAGAUGAUGCUUGAUGAGCAUAAUGUUUUAGUUAAGUCAUUUAGAAUGGUAAGGGAUACAAUUCGACAACAUGACUCCUCAAAUUUGAAGCUCAGAUUCAUUGGAAGGAGAGAAGGAAACAGAAGGAUGUACAAUUUACCAAUUGUAUUAGAAGUUGCAGCUUUGGUAGUUGGCGACUUUGAAACAUUUCCGGCUGAUAGAGACAUUAUAGUUGAAACUCAAACUAGAGAGUUGAAACGAAUCAAUGAAUUAAAUGCUUCAUAUCUUGGACUUCAAUACCCUUUGCUUUUUCCAUAUGGCCAGGAUGGAUAUCGAAAGGAUGUUCCACUAAAGCAGUCAGACACAAAAUCAUCUGCUAGAAGAAAAAGGUUAAGCAUGAGAGAAUUCUUUGCCUAUAGAUUGCAAGAAAGAGAUAAUGAGUCCCCAGAUAUUUUAUUCUCAAAAAGAUUGUUCCAGCAGUUUUUAGUUGAUGCAUAUACGAUGGUUGAAUCAUCACGUCUAUCAUAUAUAUGUACCCAUAAAAAAGAAUUGAGGUCUGAGAUGUACAGAGGUUUGGCAGAAGCAAUUUUAAAAGGAGGAAUAGAUGCUUCUUCACAAGGAAAAUGUUUUAUAUUGCCUUCUUCUUUUACAGGUGGGGCACGAUACAUGAUUCAAAAUUACCAAGAUGCAAUGGCAAUUUGUAAAUGGGCCGGAUACCCUGAGCUUUUUAUCACACUUACAUGUAAUCCAAAAUGGCCAGAGGUUGUUCGUUUUGUGGAAAGUAGAGGUUUAAGACCUGAAGACCGGGCAUAUAUACUUUGUAGGAUAUUUAAAGUCAAGCUAGAUCAGUUGGUAAAAGAUCUUAGACAAAACAAGAUAUUUGGAAAAGCCAAAGCAGUAAUAUACACCGUUGAGUUCCAAAAACGUGGAUUGCCACAUGCACAUAUACUACUUUUUUUUAUAUCAAGAAGACAAAUGUCCAACAGAUGAAGAUAUUGAUAAGAUCAUUUCAGCUGAAAUUCCCGAUGAAGUAAAUGAUCCAGAAUACUAUGCUGCAAUUAAAAAUUUAAUGAUGCAUGGACCAUGCGGCAACUCAAGAAAAAAUUCUCUAUGUAUGUUGGAUGGAAGAUGUACAAAAAAUUUCCUCAAAAGGUAUGUUGAUUGCAUUACAGUUGAUGAAGAUGGAUAUCCAAUUUAUAGAAGGAGAGACAACGGAAGAACAAUUGAAAAGAAUGGAACUGCCUUGAAUAAUAGAUAUGUCGUUCCGCACAAUCGUUACUUACUUUUGAAGUAUGGUGCUCAUAUGAAUGUUGAAUGGUGUAAUCAGUCAAGAUCUAUUAAGUAUCUUUUUAAAUAUGUCAAUAAAGGACAUGAUCGGGUCACCGUAACUUUUUAUGGAAGCGCUAAUGACAGUAAUGUGCAUGGUCACAUGGAUGAAAUAAAUAUGUACUAUGAUUGUAGGUAUAUUUCACCAUGCGAGGCAGCUUGGAGAAUUUUUGGUUUUGAUAUUCAUUAUAGAGAUCCUCCAGUUGAGUGAUUGAAUUUCCAUCUUCCCAAUGAGCAAAAUAUAGUAUUUCUAGAUAGUGAUUUGAUUAAUGCUAUCAUGAAUCGAAAUACCGUGAGCAAAUCGAUGUUUUCAGCUUGGAUGGAUGCAAAUAAAAGAUAUGGACCAAGAAAUUUUGAAGACAUAAUGAAUAUAAAUGGCAUUCAAUAUAAUUCUUUGAGAGAUGCUUGCUAUGCACUUGGUUUGUUAGAUGAUGAUAAAGAAUAUGUUGAUGGUAUAGCUGAAGUAAGCCAUUGAGGAUCUGCAUAUUAUUUAAGAAAUCUAUUUGCAACUUUGUUGCUGUCAGAUUCAUUAACGAAGCCUGAAUUUGUUUGGGAACAAAGUUGGCGGUAUCUAUCAGAUGAUAUACUCUAUAGACAACGCAACAUCCUCCAUCAUCAAGAUUUGCAUCUGACUGAUGAAGAGAUAAAAAAUUACACUCUUAUAGAGAUUGAGGAGAUCUUACGGAGCAAUGGAAAAAGUCUUCGUGACUUUCUAAUGAUGCAUUUCCCUGGUACCAUUGAUGUUUUUUGCCGCCAAAAUAGGCUUAUACAGGAUGAGCUACGUUAUGAUAGAAUUGCUUUGGCUGAAGACCAUAAUAAGUUUGUAUCAAAUCUCACAGCUGAACAAAAAAGUGUUUAUGAAACAAUUAUGGGUGCUGUUGAAGGUGUCAAACCCAGUAUAUUCUUUAUGUAUGGAUAUGGAGGUACUGGGAAAACUUUUAUCUGGAAAACUCUAUCAGCAGCAUUGAGAUCGAAAGGGAAAAUUGUGUUGAUUGUAGCAUCGAGUGGUAUAGCAUCUCUUCUUCUGCCAUGAGGUAGGACAGCACAUUCGAGGUUUGCUAUAUCUCUUGCUCCAAAUGAAGAUUCAACUUGCAACAUUAAACAAGAUAGUCCACCUGCUGAGUUGAUUGUCAAAACCGAACUUAUCAUUUGGGAUGGAGCACCUAUGAUGAAUAGAUAUUGUUUUGAAGUGUUGGACAUGACUAUGAGAGAUAUUUUAAGAUUUAGCAAUCCACUAAGUUUGGAGCAACCUUUUGGAGGUAAAACUGUCAUGUUUGGAGGAGAUUUCAGACAAAUUUUGUCGGUUAUCCCAAAAGGAUGUAGGCAAGACAUUGUUCUUGCAACUUUAAACUCAUCAUAUUUGUGGAAAUAUUGUAAAGUUUUGAAGUUGACAAAGAACAUGAGACUUCAAAGUAUUGACUCGGACAUUGAUAAGGAUGAAUUGAAGGCUUUUUCAGAAUGGAUAUCAAGUAUUGGAGAUGGAACAAUUGGCGGUCUGAAUGAUGGUCAUGCAAUGAUUGAUAUACCUGAUGAUCUUUUGAUAAAGGAUACAGAAGAUUCAGCUACUGAGGAAAAUACAUAUUCAAGUUCUAAUGCAACUUGCAGAUCUGAUUCGAACAUUGAUCUUAUAGGAGAUCUUCAUACAUUUGAAUUUUUGAAUGCUAUAAAAUGCUCCAGGGUGCCUAAUCAUCAGUUGAAAUUGAAGGUCGAUGUCCUUGUUAUGCUAUUAAGAAAUGUCGAUCAUUCUUUGGGGUUGUGCAAUGGGACUAGAUUGAUCAUUACAAGGCUUGGCAAUCAUGUUCUCGAAGGAAAAGUUAUUUCAGGAAGUAAUGCUGGGUUUAAAGUUUUUAUUCCAAGAAUAACUUUAACUCCAUCGGACCCAAGGUUGCGUUUUAAGUUUAAACGAAGACAAUAUCCUUUGCUUGUAUCAUAUUCUAUGACUAUUAAUGAGAGCCAAGGUCAAUCUCUUUCGCAUGUCGGACUUUUUCAUAAAAGACCAGUUUUUAGUCAUGGACAGUUAUAUAUUGCAGUCUCCAGAGUUACAAAUAGGAAAUGAUUGAAGAUAUUAAUUUGUUAUAAAGAUGGAAAACCUACCAAUUCAACCACUAAUGUGGUCUUUAAAGAAGUUUUUGAAAAUUUAGAUUAA